RNAcentral lists this ribosomal RNA (1446 nucleotides) under uncultured bacterium. Its description in RNAcentral is "bacterial SSU rRNA". It matches the Rfam family "Bacterial small subunit ribosomal RNA". The record is from RNAcentral.
AGAGUUUGAUCCUGGCUCAGAACGUACGCUGGCGGCACGCCUUAUACAUGCAAGUCGAACGAAGUAGUAAUACUUAGUGGCAGACGGGUGAGUAACAUGUGGGUAUCUUCCCUUUGGUGAGGAAUAACACGAGGAAACUUGUGCUAAUACCUCAUAAGUCUUUACGGAGAAAGCUUUAUGCGCCAAUGGAUGAGCCCGCACUUGAUUAGUUUGUUGGUGGGGUAAUGGCCUACCAAGACUGUGAUCAAUAGCUGAUUUGAGAGGAUGAUCAGCCACAUUGGGACUGAGACACGGCCCAAACUCCUACGGGAGGCAGCAGUAAGGAAUCUUGCACAAUGGAGGAAACUCUGAUGCAGCGAUGCCGCGUGAGUGAAGAAGGCCUUUGGGUUGUAAAGCUCUUUCGUCGGGGAAGAAAAUGACUGUACCCGAAUAAGAAGGUCCGGCUAACUUCGUGCCAGCAGCCGCGGUAAUACGAAGGGACCUAGCGUAGUUCGGAAUUACUGGGCUUAAAGAGUUCGUAGGUGGUUAAAAAAGUUGGUAGUGAAAUCCCAGAGCUUAACUCUGGAACUGCUAUCAAAACUUUUUAGCUAGAGUAUGAUAGAGGAAAGCAGAAUUUCUAGUGUAGAGGUGAAAUUCGUAGAUAUUAGAAAGAAUACCAAUUGCGAAGGCAGCUUUCUGGAUCAUUACUGACGCUGAGGAACGAAAGCAUGGGUAGCGAAGAGGAUUAGAUACCCUCGUAGUCCAUGCUGUAAACGAUGUGUGUUAGACGUUGGAAAUUUAUUUUCAGUGUCGCAGCGAAAGCGAUAAACACACCGCCUGGGGAGUACGACCGCAAGGUUAAAACUCAAAUGAAUUGACGGGGACCCGCACAAGUAGUGGAGCAUGUGGUUUAAUUCGAAGAUACGCGCAGAACCUUACCAACACUUGACAUGUUCGUCGCGACUUUAAGAGAUUAAAGUUUUCGGUUCGGCCGGACGAAACACAGGUGCUGCAUGGCUGUCGUCAGCUCGUGUCGUGAGAUGUUGGGUUAAGUCCCGCAACGAGCGCAACCCUCACUUUUAGUUGCCACCAUUUAGUUGGGCACUCUGAAAGAACUGCCAGUGAUAAGCUGGAGGAAGGUGGGGAUGACGUCAAGUCCUCAUGGCCCUUACGUGUUGGGCUACACACGUGCUACAAUGGCAUUUACAAUAGGAUGCAAGAUGGCGACAUCAAGCAAAUCCUAAAAAGAUGCCUCAGUUCGGAUUGCACUCUGCAACUCGAGUGCAUGAAGCUGGAAUUACUAGUAAUCGCGUAACAGCAUGACGCGGUGAAUACGUUCCCGGGCCUUGUACACACCGCCCGUCACACCAUGGGAAUUGGUUUUACCCGAAGACUGUGUGCUAACCUUUUGGAGGCAGCAGGCCACGGUAAGAUCAGUGACUGGGGUGAAGUCGUAACAAGGUAACC